This 72-nucleotide transfer RNA is filed under the name Amphiura sp. CZ-2022. RNAcentral's name for it is "tRNA-Ile". Lineage: Eukaryota; Metazoa; Echinodermata; Ophiuroidea; Amphilepidida; Amphiuridae. The record is from RNAcentral.
GGGCGAAACCCUAAGGUAGGGGGAACCAGCCGAUAACUGGUUCUGGGUUAGUUCGAUUCUAACUUCGUCCUA